AGACAAAGGUCGUACGCUUCUUUUUCACCGGAGCUUGCUCCACCGGAAAAAGAAGAGUGGCGAACGGGUGAGUAACACGUGGGUAACCUGCCCAUCAGAAGGGGAUAACACUUGGAAACAGGUGCUAAUACCGUAUAACAAUCGAAACCGCAUGGUUUUGAUUUGAAAGGCGCUUUCGGGUGUCGCUGAUGGAUGGACCCGCGGUGCAUUAGCUAGUUGGUGAGGUAACGGCUCACCAAGGCCACGAUGCAUAGCCGACCUGAGAGGGUGAUCGGCCACAUUGGGACUGAGACACGGCCCAAACUCCUACGGGAGGCAGCAGUAGGGAAUCUUCGGCAAUGGACGAAAGUCUGACCGAGCAACGCCGCGUGAGUGAAGAAGGUUUUCGGAUCGUAAAACUCUGUUGUUAGAGAAGAACAAGGAUGAGAGUAACUGUUCAUCCCUUGACGGUAUCUAACCAGAAAGCCACGGCUAACUACGUGCCAGCAGCCGCGGUAAUACGUAGGUGGCAAGCGUUGUCCGGAUUUAUUGGGCGUAAAGCGAGCGCAGGCGGUUUCUUAAGUCUGAUGUGAAAGCCCCCGGCUCAACCGGGGAGGGUCAUUGGAAACUGGGAGACUUGAGUGCAGAAGAGGAGAGUGGAAUUCCAUGUGUAGCGGUGAAAUGCGUAGAUAUAUGGAGGAACACCAGUGGCGAAGGCGGCUCUCUGGUCUGUAACUGACGCUGAGGCUCGAAAGCGUGGGGAGCAAACAGGAUUAGAUACCCUGGUAGUCCACGCCGUAAACGAUGAGUGCUAAGUGUUGGAGGGUUUCCGCCCUUCAGUGCUGCAGCUAACGCAUUAAGCACUCCGCCUGGGGAGUACGACCGCAAGGUUGAAACUCAAAGGAAUUGACGGGGGCCCGCACAAGCGGUGGAGCAUGUGGUUUAAUUCGAAGCAACGCGAAGAACCUUACCAGGUCUUGACAUCCUUUGACCACUCUAGAGAUAGAGCUUCCCCUUCGGGGGCAAAGUGACAGGUGGUGCAUGGUUGUCGUCAGCUCGUGUCGUGAGAUGUUGGGUUAAGUCCCGCAACGAGCGCAACCCUUAUUGUUAGUUGCCAUCAUUCAGUUGGGCACUCUAGCAAGACUGCCGGUGACAAACCGGAGGAAGGUGGGGAUGACGUCAAAUCAUCAUGCCCCUUAUGACCUGGGCUACACACGUGCUACAAUGGGAAGUACAACGAGUCGCGAAGUCGCGAGGCUAAGCUAAUCUCUUAAAGCUUCUCUCAGUUCGGAU
RNAcentral lists this ribosomal RNA (1272 nucleotides) under Leuconostoc pseudomesenteroides. RNAcentral's name for it is "bacterial SSU rRNA". It matches the Rfam family "Bacterial small subunit ribosomal RNA", at positions 51 to 1298 of the family's 1533-position model. The record is from RNAcentral. Lineage: Bacteria; Bacillati; Bacillota; Bacilli; Lactobacillales; Lactobacillaceae.